RNAcentral lists this long non-coding RNA (472 nucleotides) under Physcomitrium patens. RNAcentral describes it as "long non-coding RNA (PPAT_LNC014494)". Lineage: Eukaryota; Viridiplantae; Streptophyta; Bryopsida; Funariales; Funariaceae. The record is from RNAcentral.
UAAGUAGUCUGAUGAUUUGGUUCCCUGCAUUGUUUGCUUCCGAUCAAUUUCAUACUCAACGCUGUCAAGGAAAUUUUAGCAUUGUGAAGGGGUGACUGACCGCAUCUGUAUGACUUGGGCAGGACUUUGUGUGACUUGCCAAUUGCCGGUUUCGGGGUGGACCUCGUCCGCGGCAACAAAACCUUGAGCCUAAUCAAGGAGCACGGUCUUCCUGAGGGGAAGACUUUGUUUGCCGGAGUGGUGGACGGAAGGAACAUCUGGGCCAACGACUUGGCUGCCUCUGUGGCCGUGGUUGAGGAAUUGCAGGCUAAGCUUGGGAAGGAUAACGUAGUUGUCUCAACCUCAUGCUCCUUGCUCCAUUCCGCAGUGGACCUCAAGAACGAGACAAAGUUGGAUAGCGAAUUGAAGUCCUGGAUGGCAUUCGCCGCACAGAAGCUGCUGGAGGUAGUGGCGGUCGCUAAGGCCGUGUCGG